This 599-nucleotide long non-coding RNA is filed under the name Homo sapiens (human). Its description in RNAcentral is "HSALNT0363205". Lineage: Eukaryota; Metazoa; Chordata; Mammalia; Primates; Hominidae. The record is from RNAcentral.
GCCCGGCCAGUCCCAGCGCCUGUGAGGAGCCCAGAGGGGUCAGCCGACCAGCAGAGUGAACCCUGAGCCCCUCCGACCUGCCCCACAUCUCUGCAGGGCUAGCCCAGAGGUUGGCGGCGGAAGGCCCACAGCUCCCCUGGCUCCAUGGGCAAUGACCGAACAGCCCUUCACCUCUCUGGGCCUUGUUUUCUCAAACUGAAACUGGAGAGGAUGACCCCAGCCUGGGACCUUCGAGGGCCUCAAAAGGGCUCUGGGCCUUGCGUGGCUGGACGAUGAAUGUGAUGGCUGGAACUCAAGCAGCCACAGUGGAUCAUAAGGGACGGUGUCUUGCUAUGUUGUCCAAGCUGGUCUCAAACUGGCCUGAAUCAAUGCUUCCACCUCAGCUGCCAGAGGAACCGGGAUUACAGGCCUGAGCCACUGCAGCCAGCCAGUUUGUUAUUUUAAUGUAAAUUCUUAGUAAACAACUCAGGAGCUCUCUUGUCCUUUUAAAAUCCAUUUCAACUUCUGCUAAUCGGAGUGUAUAUUCAGGGCAACUUGAAUCUGUGCUCCUGGGAUGCAAUCCUCAAGCUUGGCCCAAAUAAAGUCUCCGCUGAUAUUAA